RNAcentral lists this ribosomal RNA (253 nucleotides) under uncultured bacterium. Its description in RNAcentral is "partial 16S ribosomal RNA". It matches the Rfam family "Bacterial small subunit ribosomal RNA", at positions 524 to 776 of the family's 1533-position model. The record is from RNAcentral.
GACGUAGGAGGCGAGCGUUAUCCGGAUUCACUGGGCGUAAAGCGCAUGUAGGCGGUUGCACAAGUCCGUUGUUAAAGCCCCUGGCUCAACUGGGGGAGGUCAAUGGAGACUGUGCGACUUGAGGGCAGUAGAGGCACGUGGAACUCCCGGUGUAGCGGUGGAAAGCGUAGAGAUCGGGAAGAACACAAGUGGCGAAGGCGACGUGCUGGGCUGCAACUGACGCUGAGAUGCGAAAGUGUGGGGAGCAAACAGG